RNAcentral lists this ribosomal RNA (361 nucleotides) under uncultured bacterium. RNAcentral's name for it is "bacterial SSU rRNA". It matches the Rfam family "Bacterial small subunit ribosomal RNA", at positions 8 to 353 of the family's 1533-position model. The record is from RNAcentral.
AGAGUUUGAUCCUGGCUCAGGAUGAACGCUAGCUACAGGCUUAACACAUGCAAGUCGAGGGGAAACGACAUCGAAAGCUUGCUUUUGAUGGGCGUCGACCGGCGUACGGGUGAGUAACGCGUAUCCAACCUGCCCACCACUUGGGGAUAACCUUGCGAAAGUAAGACUAAUACCCAAUGAUAUCUCUAGAAGACAUCUGAAAGAGAUUAAAGAUUUAUCGGUGAUGGAUGGGGAGUGCGUCUGAUUAGCUUGUUGGCGGGGUAACGGGCCCACCCAAGGCAACGAUCAGUAGGGGGUUCUGAGAGGAAGGUCCCCCCGCAUUGGAACUGAGACACGGUCCAAACUCCUACGGGAGGCAGCA